Molecule: unclassified non-coding RNA, 332 nt
Filed under: Hevea brasiliensis (rubber tree)
Lineage: Eukaryota; Viridiplantae; Streptophyta; Magnoliopsida; Malpighiales; Euphorbiaceae
Source: RNAcentral
CAAAAAUAAAGUUAAUAAACGAGCCCAAAAACCACGUCAAUUCUUUUAAAAAUAAAAGCUGCUGAUACUCAAAACUGGCGCCUUGGCGGCCUUGCUUCGGCUUGCGUUACUCGGAUAGGUCUUCCACUCAGGUCAGUUCCAUCCAAGGACUGAAUGGCAUUGUUAACUUCCUCUGCUGAAUUAUAUGUUAUGAAACCAAAGCCCCUAGAUCUUCCGCUCUCACGGUCAUAAACUACUUUUGCCUCCACAACAUUUCCAUGUUCCCUAAACAAGUUCUCCAGUGUAAGAUCAUCAACACCCCAAGCAAGGUUACUCACAUGAAUACGGUUGGG